Molecule: long non-coding RNA, 250 nt
Organism: Daphnia pulicaria
Lineage: Eukaryota; Metazoa; Arthropoda; Branchiopoda; Diplostraca; Daphniidae
Exons: 2
Source: RefSeq, a predicted model, not a curated record
ACAGCUUCGAGUCUUCGACUUCGAUAGACAAUUUUAGACAGCGUUGUUGCUGUGAUAGACUCUGUGUAACACGUGUACAUCUAAUAAAGAGGCUUAACAGAAUGGAUUCACAUGAAAUCCCAGGUCCAAUGCUGCAGCAGUGUAAUACAAUUGACGCAUAUGAUGAUUCUAUCCAUACAGAAAACAGAUUGUCUAACGUAUAUGUAACACGAGACGAAUUUCUGCAUCAGCUUGCUCAGCUGCGGGAAGA